RNAcentral lists this unclassified non-coding RNA (1397 nucleotides) under Leishmania donovani. RNAcentral's name for it is "gene:LdHU3.25.2750(CDS-product:Molybdopterin_guan ine_dinucleotide_synthesis_protein_B_putative)". The record is from RNAcentral. Lineage: Eukaryota; Euglenozoa; Kinetoplastea; Trypanosomatida; Trypanosomatidae.
UCCCAAGUUCAACGUUCGCUUGGGCGACAUUGCAGAGGCCAUGACCAACUUCAUCCAACCGGGAGGAGGGAGCUCCACAAAGAGUAUUUCAGUGACAAUUCCAUCGGAUGGGGAGCUCAUCAUCACUGUCCCUUCUAACGAACCCAAAUGCUCUGCGUCAAUCAAGCUGGAGCCUUCCACUGGCGCCACCGACUCGCGAGUCGAUGUCGCCGGCAGUCCCCUCGUCACGGAUAUCUCCUACUAUCUCCUGCCUGGGGUGACUCUGAAUGUUUUCGCAUGGACCACAAGCGUCAUCCGGAUAGAAGGCUCUGAGCAGUUACUGCGCGGUGUAAUUCGCUCGUCGACGAAGUCGAUUACGCGCCCCUUAGUGGAGUAUCAUUUUGUCUUACACACGCAGCGCAUCGCCGCUGAGAAGACACAAUGCGGCGGCCCGGUCACUCUGAUUUGCGGAGGGCAACUGACAGGCAAGACUGUGGUUGCACGUACACUAGCGAACUAUGCCGCGCGUGCCGGCUGGAAACCAAUCCUGGUUGACUUGGAUCCAGGAGUGCAGCAGACGAUUGGUUUGCCCGGGUCGAUCGGGGCUGCCAUAUUGGACUACCCGUUGCCUCUGGAUGAAGUCAUGGCGCUCUCCCUUGUGAGCACAACGUAUUUUGUGGGCACAACAGAGGUCGAGUCCUUCAGCAAACUGGGGGAGGCUCUCAUGGGGGCAGCAUACGUGCACUUCUCAAAGCUCCUGCUCACCUGUGUUCGCGAACGGUUGUCAACACACGCAAAUGACCUGCACGGCUUCAGCGGCGCAAUUAUUGCUGUACCGGAGGUGCAUGGUAGCUCCGGAAUAAAUUUUGUCAGCGAACUGAUACAGCAGUACGACGUUUCCAACGUACUUUGCCUCGGUGAUGAUGAUCUGUUUCACACCCUGUAUCUGCGGCACGAUCGUGGAAACGCAGCGCAGCCAGACUACGUGAAGAUAGACCGUAUUUCGCACAACUUCAGCACCGUUCCCCCAGCUAACGCUGAUUCAGUGAUGCCGUCGAGAUACAGCGACUACUUUCUCGGCACUGGUGUAGUGGACCUGCACCCAUCGCAGUGGUCAAAACCGUUUAACAGCAUCGACGUACUCAUUCUCAAAGAGGAGCAGGGGCAAGUGGUGCUUUCUCCAGUCCCUAAGGAGGAACUACAGGGCAUCGUUGGCUGCAUUGGUGCACUUUACUCGUCUAAGUCAGGCAAUGCACUUCAGUCGUCGCCGAUGGCCUACGCAAGAGUGCAGACAAUUGACCCAGCCGGCAUUUACUUUCUGACGAGCACCCAUUUUACUUUUCCGUCAGAAAAGCUUACUUUGCUUGUUGGGACUGUCCGUUGGAUUACCAGCACGUAAGAAGGAAAUGUAGUUGUCG